Molecule: ribosomal RNA, 611 nt
Filed under: Brettanomyces bruxellensis
Lineage: Eukaryota; Fungi; Ascomycota; Pichiomycetes; Pichiales; Pichiaceae
Description: eukaryotic LSU rRNA
Rfam family: Eukaryotic large subunit ribosomal RNA
Source: RNAcentral
UUAAGCAUAUCAAUAAGCGGAGGAAAAGAAACCAACAGGGAUUGCCCCAGUAAUGGCGAAUGAAGCGGCAAGAGCCCAAAUUUGAAAUCGGGCAACCGAGUUGUAAUUUGGAGACGGGACACUAGAGAGGAGGAAGGCGAUUAAGUGCCUUGGAACAGGCUGCCGUAGAGGGUGAGAGCCCCGUGAAUCGCUGGAGACCGAUCAAUUAGUGCCCGCCGAAGAGUCGAGUUGUUUGGGAAUGCAGCUCUAAGUGGGUGGUAUAUUCCAUCUAAGGCUAAAUAUUAGCGAGAGACCGAUAGCAAACAAGUACAGUGAUGGAAAGAUGAAAAGAACUUUGGAAAGAGAGUGAAAUAGUACGUGAAAUUGUUGAAAGGGAAGGGUAUUUGAUCCGACAUGGUGUUUAGCAGCGGCCCGUUCCUCGUGGAUGGGUGCACCUGGUUUACACUGGGCCAGCAUCGGUUCUGGGAGCCAUAUACGGGGUUCGUGAAUGUGGCCCUUCGAUUCUGUCGGAGGGUGUUAUAGCGCGGACAUCUUGUGGCUAGCCGGGACCGGGGACUGCGGUGACUUGUCACCAAGGAUGCUGGCAGAACGAGCAAAUACCACCCGUCUUG